AGAAGGCCUUCGGGUUGUAAAGCCCUUUUGUUGGGAAAGAAAAGCAGUCGGUUAAUACCCGAUUGUUCUGACGGUACCCAAAGAAUAAGCACCGGCUAACUUCGUGCCAGCAGCCGCGGUAAUACGAAGGGUGCAAGCGUUACUCGGAAUUACUGGGCGUAAAGCGUGCGUAGGUGGUUGUUUAAGUCCGUUGUGAAAGCCCUGGGCUCAACCUGGGAAUUGCAGUGGAUACUGGGCAACUAGAGUGUGGUAGAGGAUGGCGGAAUUCCCGGUGUAGCAGUGAAAUGCGUAGAGAUCGGGAGGAACAUCUGUGGCGAAGGCG
Molecule: ribosomal RNA, 322 nt
Filed under: Xanthomonas translucens pv. undulosa
Lineage: Bacteria; Pseudomonadati; Pseudomonadota; Gammaproteobacteria; Lysobacterales; Lysobacteraceae
Description: bacterial SSU rRNA
Rfam family: Bacterial small subunit ribosomal RNA
Source: RNAcentral